Megachile rotundata (alfalfa leafcutting bee) is the source of this 1238-nucleotide long non-coding RNA. The record is from RefSeq and is a predicted model, not a curated record. Lineage: Eukaryota; Metazoa; Arthropoda; Insecta; Hymenoptera; Megachilidae.
CCGACACUUCACGUAUACCUAUUCCUACCGCGACCGGUCAAAUGACCGGUCUUUAGCACAACUUAUAUUUUUUAAUAUAGGAUGAAAAUAAUAGCCAAUUUAAUAAUAUAAAAAUAUAGUUUCUUUUAUUUAGAAGUAUAUACUAUGUACUUUAUUCGUUUUCACCACAUUUUUUGCAAAUAGGCCUCUCGAUUGUACAUUUUCCACAUACAUACUUUUUACAUUGCAGACCAAUAUUAUUGGUUUUAUUAUCUUUGCACUAUCUAAUUUGACAUGUUUUACGUUUUUCUGCACUGUCAUUUUCAAUAUCAAAAAUUUCCUGAUCAUUUUCGGUACAUUCUUCAUCAAUAUCAUUUAUUUUUUCUAAUAAUGAAUUUACACUCUUCAAACUUGACAUUUGGGACAUGAAUAUUCAACUGAAAAUAAAUUUUAUUCAAAAUAAAAACUAAAAUGUAUAAAUGUAAAUCCAAAUACAUAAAGAAAUGAAUAAAAGAUAAAAUGUGAAACUUACGGCGAAGUACUGAUGAUUUUGUCUAGUUUUUUGGAAAUGACACUUAUAACACAUAAAACAAUACUUAUAACAACAUAAAAUACAGGUAGAAUAAUAAUAGAAUAGAAAUACAAAAUAAUAAAAAACUGCUGAAUAUACUUCUUGUGACUUUGACGUACUGAUGUUCUAUGUUCGCGUCGCAAGAGUUUAUUGAUUUCAAAUUCAUCAAAAAACGUUUGGGCGUCCCCUUCGGCUAAAAUUUUAUUUAUUUUAUAAUCAUAGUAAAUGAGACAGUGUUAGAAAAUCCUAAGUUCUUGACUGCGUCGAAUACCAAUCAGGCAAAUAAAUACCGCGAGACCGAUAGGCGAGCGAAAGCUAUAUACACUUGGAAGGGCCGUAAAGCAGUACCUGGAAGGCACUUUUUGGAUAAUAUCAUGCUAAAACUGCAUUAUCUUUCGUUUAUAACGUAUUUAUAAGUUCGGAAUUGAGCCUCUGAGAGAAUACUAUUACAAAAAGUUAUAAAUCGUUCUACCGGUCAAAUGACCGGUCGUGGUAGGUAAGACAGACUACUAAUUUUUCUCAAAAACUAAACAAUAAAGAACGAAAUAAAUAUUGAAAAAAGUAUUAUAUGCAUGUUUCAGGAAAAGUCAUGAAGUUUAAAGGCGUUUCAAUUACGCUUUAUACAGGAAAUUCUAAUCGAAAUUUUGAAAACGGUCAUUUGACCGGUCGCGGUAGGAAUAGUGUUAAU